UACGGAGGGGACUAGCGUUGUUCGGAAUUACUGGGCGUAAAGCGCACGUAGGCGGCUUUGUAAGUCAGGGGUGAAAUCCCGGGGCUCAACCUCGGAACUGCCUUUGAUACUGGGGAUCUCGAGUCCGGAAGAGGUUGGUGGAACUGCGAGUGUAGAGGUGAAAUUCGUAGAUAUUCGCAAGAACACCAGUGGCGAAGGCGGCCAACUGGUCCGGUACUGACGCUGAGGUGCGAAAGCGUGGGGAGCAAACAGG
RNAcentral lists this ribosomal RNA (253 nucleotides) under uncultured bacterium. RNAcentral describes it as "partial 16S ribosomal RNA". It matches the Rfam family "Bacterial small subunit ribosomal RNA", at positions 524 to 776 of the family's 1533-position model. The record is from RNAcentral.